This 209-nucleotide long non-coding RNA is filed under the name Elaeis guineensis (African oil palm). RNAcentral's name for it is "long non-coding RNA (EGUI_LNC039055)". The record is from RNAcentral. Lineage: Eukaryota; Viridiplantae; Streptophyta; Magnoliopsida; Arecales; Arecaceae.
UCCCUCUCUUCAUUGAAUUAUUUCUCUCUCUAUUUUUUCUCUCUAGAAAAUAUCAUUUUCUCUCUCUUAAAAUGUUUCUCUUUAGAUUAUAUCUCUCUUUUAGGGUCUUCUAAUAUUGGAAAGACCCUCUAAUAGUCUUGAUAGAUUCUGAUGAAAAGAUCUUGACCAUUGACUAUCAGGUAGUUUGUCGUUCUCCAUCUUAAUUAAAC